GGAGAGAUGGGUGAGUGGCUUAAACCAACAGUUUGCUAAACUGUCGUAUUGGGUAACCGGUACCGGGGGUUCGAAUCCCCCUCUCUCCG
This 89-nucleotide transfer RNA is filed under the name bacterium ADurb.Bin157. RNAcentral's name for it is "tRNA-Ser". It matches the Rfam family "tRNA". From Rfam's summary of the family: Transfer RNA (tRNA) molecules are approximately 80 nucleotides in length. The record is from RNAcentral. RNAcentral also lists the same sequence under 2 other names.